UACGUAGGCAGCAAGCGUUGUUCGGAGUUACUGGGCGUAAAGAGUGCGUAGGCGGUCUUUUAAGUUUGGUGUGAAAUCUCCCGGCUCAACUGGGAGGGUGCGCCGAAAACUGGGAGGCUUGAGGAUGGGAGAGGCAUGCGGAAUUCCUGGUGUAGCGGUGAAAUGCGUAGAUAUCAGGAGGAACACCUGCGGUGUAGACGGCUGGCUGGACCACUACUGACGCUGAGGCACGAAAGCGUGGGGAGCAAACAGG
Molecule: ribosomal RNA, 253 nt
Filed under: uncultured bacterium
Lineage: Bacteria
Description: partial 16S ribosomal RNA
Rfam family: Bacterial small subunit ribosomal RNA
Source: RNAcentral